AACGAACGCUGGCGGCAUGCCUAACACAUGCAAGUCGAACGAGAUCUUCGGGUCUAGUGGCGCACGGGUGCGUAACGCGUGGGAAUCUGCCCUUUGGUUCGGGAUAACAGUUGGAAACGACUGCUAAUACCGGAUGAUGACGAAAGUCAAAAGAUUUAUCGCCAGAGGAUGAGCCCGCGUAGGAUUAGCUAGUUGGUGUGGUAAAGGCGCACCAAGGCGACGAUCCUUAGCUGGUCUGAGAGGAUGAUCAGCCACACUGGGACUGAGACACGGCCCAGACUCCUACGGGAGGCAGCAGUGGGGAAUAUUGGACAAUGGGCGAAAGCCUGAUCCAGCAAUGCCGCGUGAGUGAUGAAGGCCUUAGGGUUGUAAAGCUCUUUUACCCGGGAUGAUAAUGACAGUACCGGGAGAAUAAGCUCCGGCUAACUCCGUGCCAGCCGCCGCGGUAA
This 449-nucleotide ribosomal RNA is filed under the name uncultured bacterium. RNAcentral's name for it is "partial 16S ribosomal RNA". It matches the Rfam family "Bacterial small subunit ribosomal RNA", at positions 29 to 523 of the family's 1533-position model. The record is from RNAcentral.